GGGAGGCAGCAGUGAGGAAUAUUGGUCAAUGGGCGCAAGCCUGAACCAGCAAUGCCGCGUGUGGGAUGACGGCGUUUCACGUUGUAAACCACUGUCGGACGGGACGAAAAGCGAUAUGAAUCGCCGAGACGGUACCGUCAAAGGAAGGGUCGGCUAACUACGUGCCAGCAGCCGCGGUAAU
Molecule: ribosomal RNA, 181 nt
Filed under: uncultured bacterium
Lineage: Bacteria
Description: partial 16S ribosomal RNA
Rfam family: Bacterial small subunit ribosomal RNA
Source: RNAcentral